RNAcentral lists this ribosomal RNA (1466 nucleotides) under Synechococcus sp. AG-670-F04. RNAcentral's name for it is "bacterial SSU rRNA". It matches the Rfam family "Bacterial small subunit ribosomal RNA". Lineage: Bacteria; Bacillati; Cyanobacteriota; Cyanophyceae; Synechococcales; Synechococcaceae. The record is from RNAcentral.
AGAGUUUGAUCCUGGCUCAGGAUGAACGCUGGCGGCGUGCUUAACACAUGCAAGUCGAACGAACCUUCGGGUUAGUGGCGGACGGGUGAGUAACGCGUGAGAAUCUGCCCUCAGGAGGGGGAUAACGGUUGGAAACGGCCGCUAAUACCCCAUAUGCCGCGAGGUGAAAUGAAUUUCGCCUGAGGAUGAGCUCGCGUCUGAUUAGCUAGUUGGUGUAGGUAAUGGCUCACCAAGGCAUCGAUCAGUAGCUGGUCUGAGAGGAUGAUCAGCCACACUGGGACUGAGACACGGCCCAGACUCCUACGGGAGGCAGCAGUGGGGAAUUUUCCGCAAUGGGCGAAAGCCUGACGGAGCAACGCCGCGUGAGGGAUGAAGGCCUCUGGGCUGUAAACCUCUUUUCUCAAGGAAGAAGAUCUGACGGUACUUGAGGAAUAAGCCACGGCUAAUUCCGUGCCAGCAGCCGCGGUAAUACGGGAGUGGCAAGCGUUAUCCGGAAUUAUUGGGCGUAAAGCGUCCGCAGGCGGCCUUUCAAGUCUGCUGUUAAAGCGUGGAGCUUAACUCCAUCAUGGCAGUGGAAACUGUUGGGCUUGAGUGUGGUAGGGGCAGAGGGAAUUCCCGGUGUAGCGGUGAAAUGCGUAGAUAUCGGGAAGAACACCAGUGGCGAAGGCGCUCUGCUGGGCCAUCACUGACGCUCAUGGACGAAAGCCAGGGGAGCGAAAGGGAUUAGAUACCCCUGUAGUCCUGGCCGUAAACGAUGAACACUAGGUGUCGGGGGAAUCGACCCCCUCGGUGUCGUAGCCAACGCGUUAAGUGUUCCGCCUGGGGAGUACGCACGCAAGUGUGAAACUCAAAGGAAUUGACGGGGGCCCGCACAAGCGGUGGAGUAUGUGGUUUAAUUCGAUGCAACGCGAAGAACCUUACCAGGGUUUGACAUCCUGCGAAUCUCUUGGAAACGAGAGAGUGCCUUCGGGAGCGCAGAGACAGGUGGUGCAUGGCUGUCGUCAGCUCGUGUCGUGAGAUGUUGGGUUAAGUCCCGCAACGAGCGCAACCCACGUCUUUAGUUGCCAGCAUUUAGUUGGGCACUCUAGAGAGACCGCCGGUGAUAAACCGGAGGAAGGUGUGGAUGACGUCAAGUCAUCAUGCCCCUUACAUCCUGGGCUACACACGUACUACAAUGCUACGGACAAAGGGCAGCAAGUUCGCGAGGACAAGCAAAUCCCAUAAACCGUGGCUCAGUUCAGAUCGUAGGCUGCAACUCGCCUACGUGAAGGAGGAAUCGCUAGUAAUCGCAGGUCAGCAUACUGCGGUGAAUACGUUCCCGGGCCUUGUACACACCGCCCGUCACACCAUGGAAGUUGGCCACGCCCGAAGCCGUUACUCCAACCCUUGUGGAGGAGGACGUCGAAGGUGGGGCUGAUGACUGGGGUGAAGUCGUAACAAGGUAUCCGUACCGGAAGGUGCGGAUG